UCGGUGGCGUCACAGAAGUUUCCCGUGAAGGUAGUUUUUCUUCCUUCUCUGUUACUACGACUUCAUUCGUUUCAUUGCCGGGCAGAAGCUCCUUUGUUUUCUCUGUUCGGUCUACUAUCAAAGGUCCAUCGCCAUUUUCUGUAACAUUCCUACUCUCCACCGAUGUUUCCUUGAUGGUUUCAUGUGAAGGUAGUCUUUCUUCUUUCUCUGUUACAAUACUUUCAUUCGUUUUAUUGCCGGCCAGAAUCUCCUUUGUUUUCUCUGUUCGUUCUAUUUUCUGAGGUCCAUCGCCAUUUUCUGAAGCAUUUC
Long non-coding RNA from Eriocheir sinensis (Chinese mitten crab), 309 nucleotides. RefSeq lists it as uncharacterized. The record is from RefSeq and is a predicted model, not a curated record. The transcript is spliced from 3 exons. Lineage: Eukaryota; Metazoa; Arthropoda; Malacostraca; Decapoda; Varunidae.